AUGAAGGAAGCAAGCGGCGUUCGCAUGGUUACAGGCAACGGCGAAAACAGCUACGCCGCAAACUCCAGGCUCCAGGAGAAGGCCAUUUUGGAGACAAGGCCGGUGCUUCGCAAGGCCAUACAAGAGGUAUGCACGUCGCUCUCCGCCCGACGGAGCACCAUGGUCGUCGCUGACCUCGGCUGCUCAUCGGGUCCCAACACUCUAAGCUUCAUCUCCGAGGUAAUCGGUGCAGUCCACUCCUGCACUCGGAAAUCGGAAGAGGAACGGCGCGUUGUGGAGGUCCAGUUCUUCCUGAAUGACCUGCCGGGGAACGACUUCAACCUCGUCUUCCGGUCACUGGAGCAAUUUGAAGAUCUCGGCGGGAAAGAUACGCCGCCCUUCUAUGUGGCAGGGCUGCCCCGGUCAUACUACAGGAAGCUUUUCCCUUCCAGGAGCGUCCACUUCUUCCACUCGUCCUACUCCCUCAUGUGGCGCUCUAAGGUGCCGGAGGAGCUCUCAAGUUGCACUCACUUGAAUGAAGGCAACAUCUACAUUGGAAAAACUACUCCACCUAUGGUGAUUAAGCUAUUCCAAGAACAAUUCAAAAAGGACUUUGAGUUGUUCCUUACAUUGCGUUUCAAAGAGCUUGUCAGUGGAGGUCGAAUGUUGCUAACGUUUCUUGGCCGAAAGAAUGAAGAGAUGAUGACGCAUGGGGAGGUUGGCACCUUGUAUGAAUUGGUUGCUGAAUCUCUCCUGUCUUUGGUACUAAAGGGUCGUGUGGAGAAGGAGAAGUUGGAUUCAUUCAACGUGCCCUACUACACCCCAUCCGUGAAAGAGGUCCGAGAGUUGAUCAACAAGAGUAGGCUCUUCGACAUCGAGCAUGCCAGACUCUUUGAAUCCAACUGGGAUCCUCAGGAUGACUUGGACGGUGAUGUGAUUACUAGAUUAUGCUGGCAGCGGGGCAAAUGUCGCCAAUUGCAUAAGGGCGGUGAUGGAGCCGCUAAUCGUAGACCACUUUGGGGAGGACAUUAUUGA
This 1014-nucleotide ribosomal RNA is filed under the name Triticum aestivum (bread wheat). RNAcentral's name for it is "partial small subunit ribosomal RNA". The record is from RNAcentral. Lineage: Eukaryota; Viridiplantae; Streptophyta; Magnoliopsida; Poales; Poaceae.